This 77-nucleotide transfer RNA is filed under the name Magnetococcales bacterium. RNAcentral's name for it is "tRNA-Arg". It matches the Rfam family "tRNA". From Rfam's summary of the family: Transfer RNA (tRNA) molecules are approximately 80 nucleotides in length. Their secondary structure includes four short double-helical elements and three loops (D, anti-codon, and T loops). The record is from RNAcentral. Lineage: Bacteria; Pseudomonadati; Pseudomonadota; Magnetococcia; Magnetococcales.
GCCCCCGUAGCUCAGUCGGAUAGAGCACCGGAUUCCUAAUCCGUAGGCCGUGCGUUCAAAUCGCGCCGGGGGCACCA